Molecule: ribosomal RNA, 484 nt
Filed under: uncultured bacterium
Lineage: Bacteria
Description: partial 16S ribosomal RNA
Rfam family: Bacterial small subunit ribosomal RNA
Source: RNAcentral
AUUGAACGCUGGCGGCAGGCCUAAUACAUGCAAGUCGAGCGGAUGAAGGGAGCUUGCUCCUGGAUUCAGCGGCGGACGGAUGAGUAAUGACUAGGAAUAUGACUGGUAGAGGGGGAUGACGUCAGGAAAGGGGAGCUAAUCCCGCAUACGUCAAGAGGGUGAAAGUGGUGGUUCUACGGACCUAACGCUAUCAGAUGAGACUAGGUCGGAUUAGCUAGUUGGUGUGGUAACGGCCUACCAAGGCGACGAUCCGUAACUGGUCUGAGAGGAUGAUCAGUCACACUGGAACUGAGACACGGUCCAGACUCCUACGGGAGGCAGCAGUAGGGAAUAUUGCACAAUGGGCGAAAGCCUGAUCCAGCCACGCCGCGUGAGUGAAGAAGGUCUUCGGAUUGUAAAGCACUUUAAUUUGGUAGGAAGAGCAGUAAGAUAAUACCUUGCUGUUUUGACGUUACCAACAGAAAAAGCACCGGCUAACUUCGUG